RNAcentral lists this ribosomal RNA (472 nucleotides) under uncultured bacterium. RNAcentral describes it as "SSU rRNA". It matches the Rfam family "Bacterial small subunit ribosomal RNA", at positions 26 to 518 of the family's 1533-position model. The record is from RNAcentral.
AGGAUAAACGCUGGCGGCGUGCCUAACACAUGCAAGUCGAACGUCUCUUCUUUCGGGAAGAGGAGUGGCGGACGGGUGAGGAACACGUGGGAACCUGCCCUUUAGUGAGGAAUACCGGCGAGAAAUCGCCGACAAGACCGCAUAGCCCUCUUUGAUGAGAGUCAAAGAAGGAAAGCUUCGCAAGAGGCGCUAGAGGAGGGGCCUGCGUCCGAUUAGCUAGUUGGUGGGGUAAGAGCCUACCAAGGCGUCGAUCGGUAGCUGGUCUGAGAGGACGAUCAGCCACACUGGGAUUGAGAACGGCCCAGACUCCUACGGGAGGCAGCAGCAAGGAAUUUUCCGCAAUGGGCGAAAGCCUGACGGAGCAACGCCGCGUGUGGGAUGACGCUUUUCGGAGUGUAAACCACUUUUCUUGGGGACGACGAGCGACGGUACCCGAGGAAUAAGGACCGGCUAACUACGUGCCAGCAGCCGC